RNAcentral lists this ribosomal RNA (305 nucleotides) under uncultured bacterium. RNAcentral describes it as "partial 16S ribosomal RNA". It matches the Rfam family "Bacterial small subunit ribosomal RNA", at positions 508 to 807 of the family's 1533-position model. The record is from RNAcentral.
ACAGCAGUAGCCGCGGUAAUACAGAGGGUGCGAGCGUUAAUCGGAUUUACUGGGCGUAAAGCGUGCGUAGGCGGCUUCUUAAGUCGGAUGUGAAAUCCCUGAGCUUAACUUAGGAAUUGCAUUCGAUACUGGGAAGCUAGAGUAUGGGAGAGGAUGGUAGAAUUCCAGGUGUAGCGGUGAAAUGCGUAGAGAUCUGGAGGAAUACCGAUGGCGAAGGCAGCCAUCUGGCCUAAUACUGACGCUGAGGUACGAAAGCAUGGGGAGCAAACAGGAUUAGAUACCCCUGUAGUUCCUGUCUCUUAUAC